AACGAACGCUGGCGGCAUGCCUAACACAUGCAAGUCGAACGAGACCUCCGGGUCCAGUGGCGCAUGGGUGCGUAACGCGUGGGAACCUGCCCUUAGGUUCGGAAUAACUCUCCGAAAGGGGUGCUAAUACCGGAUAAUGUCUUCGGACCAAAGAUUUAUCGCCCUUGGAUGGGCCCGCGUUGGAUUAGCUAGUUGGUAGGGUAAAAGCCUACCAAGGCGACGAUCCAUAGCUGGUCUGAGAGGAUGAUCAGCCACACUGGGACUGAGACACGGCCCAGACUCCUACGGGAGGGGGCAGUGGGGGAUAUUGGACAAUGGGCGAAAGGCUGAUCCAGCAAUGCCGCGUGAGUGAUGAAGGCCGUAGAGUUGAAAAGCUCUUUUACCCGGGAUGAUAAUGACGGUACCGGGAGAAUAAGCUCCGGCUAACUCCGUG
This 433-nucleotide ribosomal RNA is filed under the name uncultured bacterium. Its description in RNAcentral is "partial 16S ribosomal RNA". It matches the Rfam family "Bacterial small subunit ribosomal RNA", at positions 29 to 507 of the family's 1533-position model. The record is from RNAcentral.